Molecule: ribosomal RNA, 484 nt
Filed under: uncultured bacterium
Lineage: Bacteria
Description: partial 16S ribosomal RNA
Rfam family: Bacterial small subunit ribosomal RNA
Source: RNAcentral
AUUGAACGCUGGCGGCAUGCUUUACACAUGCAAGUCGAACGGCAGCGCGGGCUUUGGCCUGGCGGCGAGUGUCGAACGGGUGAGUAAUACAUCGGAACGUGCCCAGUAGUGGGGGAUAGCUCGGCGAAAGCCGGAUUAAUACCGCAUACGACCUGAGGGUGAAAGCGGGGGAUCUUCGGACCUCGCGCUAUUGGAGCGGCCGAUGGCAGAUUAGCUAGUUGGUGGGGUAAAGGCCUACCAAGGCGACGAUCUGUAGCUGGUCUGAGAGGACGACCAGCCACACUGGGACUGAGACACGGCCCAGACUCCUACGGGAGGCAGCAGUGGGGAAUUUUGGACAAUGGGCGAAAGCCUGAUCCAGCAAUGCCGCGUGUGUGAUGAAGGCCUUCGGGUUGUAAAGCACUUUUGGCGGGAACGAAAAGGACUGUGCCAAUACCACGGUUCGAUGACGGUACCCGCAGAAUAAGCACCGGCUAACUACGUG